AUGUAGCUCAAUGGUAGAGUAUUUGCCUAGAAUGUGCAAGGCUCUGGGUUCAAUUCCUGGCAU
This 63-nucleotide transfer RNA is filed under the name Heterocephalus glaber (naked mole-rat). It matches the Rfam family "tRNA", at positions 5 to 66 of the family's 71-position model. Rfam says of the family: Transfer RNA (tRNA) molecules are approximately 80 nucleotides in length. Their secondary structure includes four short double-helical elements and three loops (D, anti-codon, and T loops). The record is from Rfam by way of RNAcentral. Lineage: Eukaryota; Metazoa; Chordata; Mammalia; Rodentia; Bathyergidae.